RNAcentral lists this ribosomal RNA (354 nucleotides) under uncultured bacterium. RNAcentral's name for it is "bacterial SSU rRNA". It matches the Rfam family "Bacterial small subunit ribosomal RNA", at positions 917 to 1269 of the family's 1533-position model. The record is from RNAcentral.
GGGCCCGCACAAGCGGUGGAGCAUGUGGUUUAAUUCGAUGCAACGCGAGGAACCUUACCAGGGGCUUAAAUGUAGUGGGACAGGUCUAGAGAUAGACCCUUCUUCGGACUCAUUACAAGGUGCUGCAUGGUUGUCGUCAGCUCGUGCCGUGAGGUGUCAGGUUAAGUCCUAUAACGAGCGCAACCCCCCUAUCGUUAGUUGCCAGCGAGUAAUGUCGGGAACUCUAACGAAACUGCCAGUGCAAACUGUGAGGAAGGUGGGGGAUGACGUCAAAUCAUCACGGCCCUUACGUCCUGGGCUACACACGUGCUACAAUGGCCGGUACAGAGAGCAGCCACUUCGCAAGAAGGAGCG